RNAcentral lists this ribosomal RNA (915 nucleotides) under uncultured marine archaeon. Its description in RNAcentral is "bacterial SSU rRNA". It matches the Rfam family "Archaeal small subunit ribosomal RNA", at positions 1 to 922 of the family's 1478-position model. The record is from RNAcentral.
UUCCGGUUGAUCCUGCCGGACCUGACUGCUAUCGGAUUGAUACUAAGCCAUGCGAGUCUUUGCAGUAAUGCAAGGCAUACGGCUCAGUAACACGUAGUCAACUUACCCUAUGGACGAGGAUAAUCUCGGGAAACUGAGCAUAAUACUCGAUAGAUCAUAAUGCCUGGAAUGGUUUAUGGUUAAAAUGAUUCGUCGCCAUAGGAUGGGACUGCGGCCUAUCAGCUUGUUGGUGAGGUAAUGGCCCACCAAGGCGAUUACAGGUACGGGCUCUGAGAGGAGAAGCCCGGAGAUGGGUACUGAGACACGGACCCAGGCCCUAUGGGGCGCAGCAGGCGAGAAAACUUUGCAAUGUGCGAAAGCACGACAAGGUUAAUCCGAGUGAUUUCUGCUAAAGAAAUCUUUUGUCAGUCAUAAAACCACUGACGAAUAAGGGGUGGGCAAGUUCUGGUGUCAGCCGCCGCGGUAAAACCAGCACCUCAAGUGGUCAGGAUGAUUAUUGGGCCUAAAGCAUCCGUAGCCGGCUUUGUUAGUUUUCGGUUAAAUCCAUGUGCUCAACACAUGGGCUGCCGAAAAUACUGCAUGGCUAGGGAGUGGGAGAGGUAGACGGUACUCAGUAGGAAGGGGUAAAAUCCUUUGAUCUAUUGAUGACCACCUGUGGCGAAGGCGGUCUACCAGAACACGUUCGACGGUGAGGGAUGAAAGCUGGGGGAGCAAACCGGAUUAGAUACCCGGGUAGUCCCAGCUGUAAACGAUGCAGACUCGAUGAUGCAUUGGCAUAAUAGCCAGUGCAGUGUCGCAGGGAAGCCGUUAAGUCUGCCGCCUGGGAAGUACGUACGCAAGUAUGAAACUUAAAGGAAUUGGCGGGGGAGCACCACAAGGGGUGAAGCCUGCGGUUCAAUUGGAGUCAACGCCGGG